Tripterygium wilfordii is the source of this 1188-nucleotide long non-coding RNA. RefSeq lists it as uncharacterized. Lineage: Eukaryota; Viridiplantae; Streptophyta; Magnoliopsida; Celastrales; Celastraceae. The record is from RefSeq and is a predicted model, not a curated record. The transcript has 5 exons.
UCACAUUAUCUUCUCCAGUAAGACUUCGCUUUCUCAUAGGUUUCACAAUAACUCCUCAUUGGUUAGAUUCAUGUAUAUGAUUUAAAGCGACUUCUGGCUUCUUCACGUUAUCUUCUCCAAUAAGAUUUCGCUUUCUUAUAGGUUUCACAAUAACUCCUCUUUGGUUCAGAUUCAUGGAUAUGAUUUGUAUUAUUUCCAGAUUCAUAUUCAUGUAUCGUGUGUGAUCAGUUGAGUUUCCCUCCUUGCUCUGAUAUAAUUUCAUCUUGCCCAAAAUAGUUUCUACAUUUUCGCUUAAAUUAUAUCGCUUCCUCUCUCGCUCAGGUGCGAUUUGAACUCACGGAAGAAUGUUCAUAAUUUCACGGAAGAAUGUUCAGAAUUUCGGUUGUUGACGAUCUUUGGUUCCCCAUUCUUUCCUUUGAUUAGGAGUUUCAUUCCAAGGUUACUUUAGAGCUUUGGGGAUCUGCGGUGCUUUUGUUCUGACCAUCUUUCCGAACUCUUUUGCUCGCCUCAUUGUGCACUCCUGUUCACAGCCGGAGUUCAAUGGGUGACUUUGAUGGCUGAAUAGUAAGAAGGACGAAAAUAAUUGGAUGGAUUCCCAUUUUCUGGCUUUUUUCAGGAUUUGAAUCGUCAUAUUCUUUGCUCGACAAAUUUGCUCUUAUGGCCCUCUAGGAACUUGAGAAUUGAAAAUUUCUCCUUCGAUUGGCCUCAUGUGUAUGAGGUGUUCAGGUGAAAAUUUAUCGAAAAUCCUAUUCUACUCAAAUUAAUUGCAUGGGAUGAUAAAAAGGACAUGCAAAAAGAAGCUCGAGCUGAAGAUGGAGCAUUUCUGAAGCAAAGCACCUUGACAAUACCAUAGUAGUUAGCUACUCCUUUCACAUGUAGCUCAAGUAAAGUUGUUACAGUUACGGCUUCGUAAAUAGUUUUGUAUUUUUUCGAGGCUUCAAAUUAUUUGUUUUGAUGACUAUCCUUCAAACCAUGCGUUUGUUAUUUUUCAAGGUUGAUGAGGGCUCCAAUGCUUCAAUAAGGUCGAUGAACUGUUCUGUUAUAAUGUGCCCUUCAGUGUUCCAGAGCAUUUGAGCAUGUAACGCCUACUGUUAAUAAGCUUGCAAAAAAAGAAAAUAUGCAGUUGAAUGUUAAUUCUGCCACAGAGAACAAAAAUAUCAAACAAGAUGAGUAAUCAUCCUUUGAAGG